Molecule: ribosomal RNA, 526 nt
Filed under: uncultured bacterium
Lineage: Bacteria
Description: bacterial SSU rRNA
Rfam family: Bacterial small subunit ribosomal RNA
Source: RNAcentral
AAUAGAUACCCCGGUAGUCCACGCCGUAAACGAUGAGUGCUAAGUGUUAGAGGGUUUCCGCCCUUUAGUGCUGCAGCUAACGCAUUAAGCACUCCGCCUGGGGAGUACGGUCGCAAGACUGAAACUCAAAGGAAUUGACGGGGGCCCGCACAAGCGGUGGAGCAUAUGGUUUAAUUCGAAGCAACGCGAAGAACCUUACCAGGUCUUGACAUCCUCUGACAACUCUAGAGAUAGAGCGUUCCCCUUCGGGGGACAGAGUGACAGGUGGUGCAUGGUUGUCGUCAGCUCGUGUCGUGAGAUGUUGGGUUAAGUCCCGCAACGAGCGCAACCCUUGAUCUUAGUUGCCAGCAUUUAGUUGGGCACUCUAAGGUGACUGCCGGUGACAAACCGGAGGAAGGUGGGGAUGACGUCAAAUCAUCAUGCCCCUUAUGACCUGGGCUACACACGUGCUACAAUGGAUGGUACAGAGGGCUGCAAGACCGCGAGGUCAAGCCAAUCCCAUAAAACCAUUCUCAGUUCGGAUUGU